RNAcentral lists this ribosomal RNA (253 nucleotides) under uncultured bacterium. RNAcentral's name for it is "partial 16S ribosomal RNA". It matches the Rfam family "Bacterial small subunit ribosomal RNA", at positions 524 to 776 of the family's 1533-position model. The record is from RNAcentral.
UACGUAGGGGGCGAGCGUUGUCCGGAAUCAUUGGGCGUAAAGCGCGUAUAGGCGGCCGAACAAGUCCGAUGUGAAAGCUCGGGGCUCAACCCCGAGUCUGCAUUGGAAACUGUGCGGCUAGAGUCCGGAAGAGGAGACUGGAAUUCCUGGUGUAGCGGUGAAAUGCGCAGAUAUCAGGAAGAACACCGGUGGCGAAGGCGGGUCUCCGGGACGGUACUGACGCUGAGACGCGAAAGCGUGGGGAGCAAACAGG